This 888-nucleotide long non-coding RNA is filed under the name Monodelphis domestica (gray short-tailed opossum). RNAcentral describes it as "lncRNA (ENSMODG00000045133.1)". Lineage: Eukaryota; Metazoa; Chordata; Mammalia; Didelphimorphia; Didelphidae. The record is from RNAcentral.
AUGAGAACAUCGAAAACACUGCAUGGCGAUCAGCAGCAGCUCUCGCCGGAAAAGUACAUCUUUCAAUAUUCAGGCCUUCCUUCCCAGCGGUUGAAACAUGGCGUCUUGAGAACAAAGCACAAACUUGUGCCAAAGAGAGACACAAGAGGAUUAGCUUACUCCAACACCCCCCCCCCCAACAACAGCAACAACCAUUCUGGGGAGAUGUCAAAGGCUUGUCAUCCCUGUGACCAGUCACUUCUCCGAUUGAAAUUCUUGGUCGUGAUGAUGAAAUGUUUAAUACAUUCGGGUUAUUUGCAGAGUUUGCUUUGGCUUUUAAGGCCUCUUUUCCAGGCAACAUUUUCUGAGCUGGUUCUCCUCCCUCCACUCCCAAGUCACCUGGCUUAUUCUCAUCUAGAAAUGUACACUAAUUCUAAGGAUGAAGUCUAAAUGCCACGGCCUCCUUCAAGAUCCUUGGGUCCUCUAUCUACCUUUCCAAGAAGAUCCUUCUUUCUUCCCUUAGCAAACCUUCUAGUCAGGCCAGGAUGGUCCACUUACUGUCAUUAUGUUAUAAUCUGCCCCAUGCAUUGUGGUUAUUCCUGUCUCUGAACCUCUGGACUUCUCUCCCUACCUGGAAUGAACUCUCUACUUUCUCUCUGUCUCACUUCUAUCUAUUCUUAAAAACUCAAUUCAAUUCUCACCAUCUUCAUGAAAGUCCAACCUUGACCAUGUCAAGCUCCCACUGAACUUAUUUUCUUAUACUGAACUUAAUAAGCUUUGCUGCUAUACUCUGAUGCUGAGCUUGCAUGGUCUUGACUCAGCAUUUAAGAUUUCUCUGAGUAUAUUUUAUCUUCUCACUUGGAUUGCAUGCUAUUCAGGAGUAUAGAGAUAGCUAAUGUUAGACUUCUG